GACGAACGCUGGCGGCGUGCUUAACACAUGCAAGUCGAACGCUGAAGCUUGGUGCUUGCACUGGGUGGAUGAGUGGCGAACGGGUGAGUAAUACGUGAGUAACCUGCCCUUGACUCUGGGAUAAGCCUGGGAAACUGGGUCUAAUACUGGAUACGACAUGUCACCGCAUGGUGGUGUGUGGAGAGGGUUUUACUGGUUUUGGAUGGGCUCACGGCCUAUCAGCUUGUUGGUGGGGUAAUGGCUCACCAAGGCGACGACGGGUAGCCGGCCUGAGAGGGUGACCGGCCACACUGGGACUGAGACACGGCCCAGACUCCUACGGGAGGCAGCAGUGGGGAAUAUUGCACAAUGGGCGAAAGCCUGAUGCAGCGACGCCGCGUGAGGGAUGACGGCCUUCGGGUUGUAAACCUCUUUCAGCACGGAAGAAGCGAAAGUGACGGUACGUGCAGAAGAAGCGCCGGCUAACUACGUG
RNAcentral lists this ribosomal RNA (472 nucleotides) under uncultured bacterium. RNAcentral describes it as "partial 16S ribosomal RNA". It matches the Rfam family "Bacterial small subunit ribosomal RNA", at positions 28 to 507 of the family's 1533-position model. The record is from RNAcentral.